UUUUUUUUUCAAUAACCACGAUGUUCGAGCCAACUUUUGUGCACCAUAAAAUUCAGAUUAGUAUGCCCAUUCAACAUAAAGGUAAGCUGAUCUUUACAAGUUUUGCCAACUUUAACAGGUUCUCAUUCUCCAGCACUCUCAAACGGGUGGCAACCAAUACACUGACAACUGUACUGCAUCCCAACAAAGAGGUAUCAAAU
RNAcentral lists this long non-coding RNA (200 nucleotides) under Capsicum annuum. RNAcentral's name for it is "long non-coding RNA (CANN_LNC010465)". The record is from RNAcentral. Lineage: Eukaryota; Viridiplantae; Streptophyta; Magnoliopsida; Solanales; Solanaceae.